Molecule: microRNA precursor, 147 nt
Filed under: Pelobates cultripes (western spadefoot toad)
Lineage: Eukaryota; Metazoa; Chordata; Amphibia; Anura; Pelobatidae
Source: RNAcentral
GAGUAGCAGACCAAUCAGCAGCAGACCCUCCCUCCCAGACCCUCCCACUUCCUGGAUAGCUCACUAAGAAUACAGCUUCACAAUGGAUGCUGUCCAGGAGGUGGGAGGGUCUGGGAGGGAGGGUCUGCUGCUGAUUGGCUUGAAUGU